GUUCCUUUCGUUUCGUUGGCUACCUCAUUCCAUCCUUCGUCGUUACUCGUUCCCUCCUCACCACCGACCCGAGUCACCCGAUCCCUAGGUCGAUCGGCUUCGCCGACUUGCUCUCAAGCGCCGACGGCCGUUUCCCUCCGGAUGGAAUCCAAGAGAGAGAGGGGAGGGAUAAGAGAGCGAGGAGCCUUCUUCUCUGCGGAUUAGAGGUCUCCUCCUGAAGUGCAAUUAGGGCUUGUUCUUCCCCACUUCUUCCCCUUCCCUCAAGCUCUAGAUCUCUUGGAAGAGAGAGCUCACGUUUCUAUUAUCCAAAAAUGAUAUUUUUAAGAAAAACAUAAUGGUAUUGUAAUCCAGACAGAUUCUUCGAGGAUACGACCUAGCGUGCAAGAUAUAUGUUAAAAAGCAUGGAGUGACAGCUUUCUCAUUAAGCUUUCAGAAGCUCUUUUUUUCUUUAUGUAACUUGGAGGAAGAUGAAACUUGUCCAAGCUUUCAGAAGCUCGAUGUUUAUUAUGGUAUAUUGUAUUUUAACAUAUCCAUAUAUCUAUUUUGGUAUAGAACUCA
Non-coding RNA from Phoenix dactylifera (date palm), 558 nucleotides. Lineage: Eukaryota; Viridiplantae; Streptophyta; Magnoliopsida; Arecales; Arecaceae. The record is from RefSeq and is a predicted model, not a curated record.